AGUGAACGCUGGCGGUAGGCCUAACACAUGCAAGUCGAACGGCAGCACAGUAAGAGCUUGCUCUUACGGGUGGCGAGUGGCGGACGGGUGAGGAAUACAUCGGAAUCUACUUUUUCGUGGGGGAUAACGUAGGGAAACUUACGCUAAUACCGCAUACGACCUACGGGUGAAAGCAGGGGAUCUUCGGACCUUGCGCGAUUGAAUGAGCCGAUGUCGGAUUAGCUAGUUGGCGGGGUAAAGGCCCACCAAGGCGACGAUCCGUAGCUGGUCUGAGAGGAUGAUACGCCCCACGGCACCAGAGACCGGUCACAGAAUCUUGAGGGAGGUACCAGUGGGGAAUAGGGGACGAUGGUCGAAACGUUGAUCCUGACAUACCGGGUGGGUGAAGAAGGCUUUCGGGUUGUAAAGCCAUUGUGACGGGUAAGAAAAGCAGCGGCUGAAUCCCCCGCUGUGCUGACGGAACCAAAAGAAGAGGCACCGGCUAACUACGUUCCAGCACCCGCGAAUAAUCGAACAGCACCCGUUUGAAC
Molecule: ribosomal RNA, 530 nt
Filed under: uncultured bacterium
Lineage: Bacteria
Description: partial 16S ribosomal RNA
Rfam family: Bacterial small subunit ribosomal RNA
Source: RNAcentral